UCUACGUUUGUGUAGUUUGCCCAGUCAUUCGAAAAAGAAGAAGUGAAAAUUUGCCAUCGCGUUUGUUUGUUAUUUUUUAUUAGUAGGAGAUAUUAAACCAUAAGUAAUACUGUAUUCGAUAAACAAUGGACACAUAACUUAAUCCAGUACACAAAUAAAACAAACUAUUUAUGAUUCCGUUUUAGCGAAGCAAGGCUUCAGGAGAGUGAAGAUAACUAGCCUGCCGUUCUCCACCACAAACUGAGCCCAAGACUAUACUGACUGGGUCCUGACUGACAACAUCACUGGGCACCGCAGGAGAAAUGGCAUCAGUGAAAGACAGCAGUCAAACACUCCUGUUGAAUAUCAUCACGAAAGAUAAAGAGGAGGAAGUGAAGAUUUGGGAAUGUGAUGAUUAUCCAGGAGAGAGUCCAGACAUGGCAUCUGUAGAGCUGGCAGGCAGCAGUCAAACACUGGGGCUGAAUGUUACCAUGAAUGAAGAACAGAAGGAAGACAUUGGGGAAUCUGCUGAUCAUGGAGAGACCUCUAACUCCUCUGAGCAAGUGGAGACAUUUCCUGCAUCCGGGAAGAAACAUCAGGAAGGGACCAAAGCUAAGAGGUCUCGCCACUGCCCUCACUGUGAGGAGAGUUUCCCAUUCCCAUCAUAUCUUGAAAGACACCUUCGAAAACAUUCUGGAGAGAAGCCUUAUUCCUGUUCUGUUUGUGGGAGGAGUUUUUCUCAACUGAGUGGGUUGAAUGUGCACCAGCGAACACACACUGGAGAGAAGCCUCACCGCUGUCCUCACUGUGAGGAGAGUUUCCCAUUUCCAUCAUAUCUUGAAAGACACCUACGAAAGCAUUCUGGAGAGAAGCCUUAUUCCUGCUCUGACUGUGGGAUGAGUUUUUCUCAACUGAGUGGCUUGAACGUGCACCAGCGAACACACACUGGAGAGAAGCCUCACCACUGUCCUCACUGUGAGAAGAGUUUCCCAUUCCUAUCAUAUCUUGAAAGACACCUGCGAAAACAUUCUGGAGAGAAGCCUUACUGCUGCUCUGACUGUGGGAAAUGCUUCACAACAUCAAGUCAUUUAACCUCCCAUCGCCGAGUUCACACAGGGGAGAAGCCUUACUCCUGCUCUGACUGUGGGAAGAGUUUCCCAUUCCCAUCAUAUCUUGAACGACACCUGCGGAAACAUGCUAACCAUUGUGUUUAAUGAAGGUCAUGUGGUGGCAACCAGCACUGAACAAUACAUUUUUGGCCAGCAGUCAACCCAGCCGGUCGGCAGUCAACCCAGCCGGCCAAACCAUCCACUGUUGUUCACUGGAAUCGUCAUUAAGUCGAAGAGGAAUCGGUUCAAGGAGUGAAGUCAGGAUAGAUGAUCCUUUCCUCCAAAACAUAUGAAUCUCAUAUCAUCUGUUUUAUAUGUGCCAAGUCUAUUGAGGGGGGCACAGGUUACAGGUUAGGCUUAAAGCCUGUUUUGUAUGAAUUAUUAUAAGUGGUGUCCAGCACAACCUAUGACAAAGCUUACACUGAAUGAAUUGAUGGUUUGGGUUCUUUGAUCAGUGAAAUUAUAUUCUCCCUGUCAAUAGCAUCAUCAUCAUCAGACAAAUACUUUACCCAUGAUUUAACCAUUUGGAAGAUAUUUUUGCUUUAGUAAUUGAAGAUGGAAAAUAAAUAGCAGACACCAAACCUCUGGACAAAUUUGUACCCAAUGGGACACCAUAGGCACAAAGUGCAGACUGUAGACUAAGAUAAAGAGACAAAGUUCCUGGAAACUAGGGAGACCCUCUGAGUUAAAUAUAUCUCCUAGGUUUUUGAUCCCUUUUUCACACCAGGCUUUUGGCUCAAAUGGUUUAUUACCUGAAAGUAAUAGCCUUGUUAUGCCAUAGCGGGGUAUAGAGAUGCCACUUCCAGGACAGAUCCAUGACAGAUCCAUGACAGAUCCAUGACAGGUCCAUGACAGAUCCAUGACAGGUCCAUGACAGAUCCAUGACAGAUCCAUGACAAGUCCAUGACAGAUCCAUGACAGGUCCAUGACAGGUCCAUGACAGGUCCAUGACAGGUCCAUGACAGAUCCAUGACAGGUCCAUGACAGAUCCAUGACAGGUCCAUGACAGAUCCAUGACAAGUCCAUGACAGAUCCAUGACAGGUCCAUGACAGGUCCAUGACAUGUCCAUGACAGGUCCAUGACAGGUCCAUGACAGAUCCAUGUAAACGUAACUGGUACCAUAGACUCUGUCUGGAAGGAAUGGGAUGCGUGUGCUAACGAACGGCAGUAGGUCUGGUGUUUUGGAGUUUUCGUCACUGAUUUAUUUGGACAACUCAUGAUUUCGCAGAGGUUAGCGUCUUCCGAAAUUUCGGAAGGAGAGGGGGACAUUCGAUUCGUCACUAGCAAAGAGAGAGAGAGAGAGAGUGAAGCUUCUCAUUUUCUAGAAUCUCUUAAUCCCUUUCUCUUAACACAUAUGGACCUAGAAUUGUAAUCGUGCAGCUGACCAAUUACACAACACUUUAGUUCUGGAUUAACCAACUAUACCAUUUACACACUUCUCAACAUUCCUCAAGUUCGAGAUCUCAUUGGAGAUAAUAGAACUGUAAUAUACUAUAACAUGCAUUUCUUAGCAUAGUAGAAAAAUAACACAUCUUUCAAUCUAAUAAGGGGAAACUAAUUCCUUUUCAAUGAACUACCAAGAGACUGGUGUAGACUGAUGAACCAUGGUAUAAGUGAUUGACCAUUAAGACGUCUGCAUGCUUCCCAGCCUAAACAGGUCCUUGUAGUACCUCAAACUGGAUCUUUGCCAUUCCAUAAAGGUAUUUAUGUACAUGUUUAUUGAGUAAGUUUACAUUCCUGCUGACUGUCGAAAGAGGAAUUUUAAGAUUUUGGGGAAUAUGAUGAUUAACCAGGUUAUCGAGCAGGGUUUAUUACCAGCGAUACGCGACCUGGUCACUGAUAAUAAAAGGCUUUUUUUUUUUACCCUGAAUUCAGAUCUCGUCCCUGCUGGAUAAAUCUCAACAGGAGAUCUUAAGUGUUGUUUCCUUCUGAAGGAAACAAUCCAGCCACAUGGUGGCAUAUAUCUGUUUGUUUUUAUUGGCCCACUAGAUCUUUUUUUUGGGGGGGGCGUCGUUUUGUCUAGAAGGUAUGCUGCUUUUGUCAAAAUUAACUUUUUGUAGCGAGUGAUAAUUAAUGUAGCAGGUUAGGAUAAUUUUUUUACAUUUUAAUUUGACCUUUAUUUAACUAGGCAAGUCAGUUAAGAACAAAUUCUUAUUUUCAAUGACGGCCCAGGAACAGUGGGUUAACUGUUCAGGGGCAGGACGACAGAUUUGUACCUUGUCAGCUCGGGGAUUUGAACUUGCAACCUUCCGGUUACUAGUCCAACGCUCUAACCACUAGGCUACCCUAGGUUAAGGUUAGGAAAAGAGUUAGGUUUGGCUAAAGUGAUAUUUUCUAAAAUGUUUUGACGUCUAGUUGACAUAAGCUGUAUUCCAUCUAGGCAUGGUGGAAUAAGCGUCCGCUCCUGAGUGGCGCAGCGGUCCAAGGCACUUCAUCGCAGUGCUAGAGGCGUCACUACAGACACCCUGAUUCGAAUCCAGGCUGUAUCACAACAAUUGGGAGUCCCAUAGAGCGGCGCACAAUUCACCCAGCGUCAUCCAGGUUUGGCCGGUGUAGGCAGUCAUUGUAAAUAAUAAUUUAUUCUUGCCUAGUUAAAUAAAGAUGAAAUCAAAUAAAAAAAUGUAAUGCUUGGAUGUCACCUGCUGGUAAGGUGCUGAACUGUUAGGUUAUAGACCGGAUGCCAUUGUUGAGCAGGCGGUAUAUAGAAGUUGUUACUCGCUGGCUAAGGCACUGUUGGCUUCUUCAAUAAAACGACAUGAAACACGUGCUAUCCGGGAUCCCUACCCCAUUGCAUUUGACAUUACAGACAAAUAUUCUUUGGUUUUACCUCAGUAUAUCGUUAUUCGAUUAGCUGACUCCUUGGCUCUUCUUUGGUAGCUAACUCAGCUGUCAAAUCGUUAAGUCUCUGCUCUCUCUUUACUUUAUAUCUGCUGGCUUUUAUGUUGUGUUCUGUGAGUUUGUGCCUGUGCUCGUCUAGGUGGUGUUCUCUGGCUUAGUACUUCACUACAUUACCAAAAGUAUGUGGACACCUGCUAGUUGAAUAUCUUAAUAUGUAAUUUGUACCCCCUCCUUUGCCGCUAUAACAGCCUCCACUCUUCUGGGAAGGCUUUCCACUAGAUGUUGGAACGUUGCUGCAGGGACUUGCUUCCAUUCAGCCACAAGAGCAGUAGUGAGGUUGAGCGCUGAUGUUGUUGGGCGAUUAGGCCUGGCUCGCAGUCGGCGUUCCAAUUCAUCCAAAAGGUGUUUGAUGGGAUUGAGGUCAGGUCUAUGUGCAGGCAAAUCAAGUUUUUCCACACCGAUCUCGACAAACUAUUUCUCAUCUGCGGGAUCGUCUGAAACCAGUCACCCGGACAGCUGAUGAAACCGAGAAGCAUUUUUGUCUUUAAUAAAGACUGUUUGUGUAGAAACUAAUUUUGAUUGGCUGGGCCUGGCUCCGUAGUGCGUGGUCUGUUCCAUCCCAGGCCCAGCCACGCCCCUUCCCAGUCAUGAAAUUCAUAGGUUAGGGCCUAAUCAAUUUAUUUAAAUUGACUGAUUUCCUUAUAUGAACUGUAAAAAUAGUAAAAUCAUUGAAAUGAUUGCAUGUCACGUUUUACAAAUUUAGUUCAGUAUAGAUAAAUCUUUGACGCAAUAAUCCCAGAGGCAGAACAGGUCGAAAAGUUCAUUGAAGGACGAAAAACAAACGAAGAGCAGACAAGGUACUAAACAAUUAGCACAGACAGGAAUGAUUUUCCACUUUCCUUUUAAGCCGGAGGCAAGCCUGCCGGAGCAGAAGUCAGAGCUGCCUCGACUGGAGUAGCCGAGCAAGAUCAUGCGGCCCCCACAUGUGGGGAAUCUAAUUGGUUGUUUACAUCACACCUCCUCGUGAUUGAUGGAUUGUAGCUCGCCACUGCCAGCACUCUGCAUGGCUUGUGGCUGAUUUUAGCCAACUCAAGCUAGCUAACACAGAGUAGAUUCUCCAUAUGUGACCCGUUUCAGGAAACUAGGCGCAUGUCUCGGGUCACAAAUUCACAGGAGAGCCGCUUGAACGUAACCUUUUUUUUUAAAUGAAAAUGCCUGUUUUGGGGGCAGAAAUGCCUUCUGUAACAUGUGAACUUUCAUGUGCCUUAAUAAUAACAAACUUGUAUGCCAUCUGUAAAUAAGAAUAACAUUGUUACAUGUUGAUCCUAGUUGGUUUAGCCACAGAAAAAAACAGCAACCUUCCCACUAGCCAUGAUUGGCUGAGAUAAUGAGUGGGCUGGACAGGCCGAGAGGUGAGUUUGGAUUGGUCUGCCAUAUAGCACGCUUCUGUCUAUUUGAGCUGGUCAGUAUUGCUCUACACUUUCUGGAGGACCGAGUCUUGAAAUCAGUGGAAUUCGAGUGAUUGCUAAGGAGAAAACACCUGUCUCCGGAUGACAUCUUCUUCACACUAGGGGCAACCAUGGCAUACGUGACAGGAGACAAUUGAUGAUGCAUAUGGGUAAGAUAUUCUUGCUCGCUACAUUUUCAGAUAUUACACGUUUCUAAUUUUGACAGUCUUUUCAUUUCAAGUUAGUUAUACAGGGUCUGCUAACCCUGUCUGAAAUAUGUUGGGGCUAGUGUACUGGUCUGCUAACCCUGUCUGAAACAUGUUGGGGCUAGUGUACUGGUCAGCUAACCCUGUACCAAACAUGUUGGGGCUAGUGUACUGGUCAGCUAACCCUGUCUGAAACAUGUUGGGGCUAGUGUACUGGUCAGCUAACCCUGUCUGAAACAUGUUGGGGCUAGUGUACUGGUCAGCUAACCCUGUACCAAACAUGUUGGGGCUAGUGUACUGGUCAGCUAACCCUGUCUGAAACAUGUUGGGGCUAGUGUACUGGUCAGCUAACCCUGUACCAAACAUGUUGGGGCUAGUGCACUGGUCAGCUAACCCUGUACCAAACAUGUUGGGGCUAGUGUACUGGUCAGCUAACCCUGUACCAAACAUGUUGGGGCUAGUGUACUGGUCAGCUAACCCUGUCUGAAACAUGUUGGGGCUAGUGUACUGGUCAGCUAACCCUGUACCAAACAUGUUGGGGCUAGUGUACUGGUCAGCUAACCCUGUACCAAACAUGUUGGGGCUAGUGUACUGGUCAGCUAACCCUGUCUGAAACAUGUUGGGGCUAGUGUACUGGUCAGCUAACCCUGUACCAAACAUGUUGGGGCUAGUGCACUGGUCAGCUAACCCUGUACCAAACAUGUUGGGGCUAGUGUACUGGUCAGCUAACCCUGUCUGAAACAUGUUGGGGCUAGUGUACUGGUCAGCUAACCCUGUCUGAAACAUGUUGGGGCUAGUGCACUGGUCAGCUAACCCUGUCUGAAACAUGUUGGGGCUAGUGUACUGGUCUGCUAACCCUGUCUGAAACAUGUUGGGGCUAGUGUACUGGUCAGCUAACCCUGUCUGAAACAUGUUGGGGCUAGUGUACUGGUCAGCUAACCCUGUCUGAAACAUGUUGGGGCUAGUGUACUGGUCAGCUAACCCUGUCUGAAACAUGUUGGGGCUAGUGUACUGGUCAGCUAACCCUGUCUGAAACAUGUUGGGGCUAGUGCACUGGUCAGCUAACCCUGUCUGAAACAUGUUGGGGCUAGUGUACUGGUCAGCUAACCCUGUACCAAACAUGUUGGGGCUAGUGUACUGGUCUGCUAACCCUGUCUGAAACAUGUUGGGGCUAGUGCACUGGUCAGCUAACCCUGUACCAAACAUGUUGGGGCUAGUGUACUGGUCAGCUAACCCUGUCUGAAACAUGUUGGGGCUAGUGUACUGGUCAGCUAACCCUGUCUGAAACAUGUUGGGGCUAGUGUACUGGUCUGCUAACCCUGUACCAAACAUGUUGGGGCUAGUGUACUGGUCUGCUAACCCUGUCUGAAAUAUGUUGGGGCUAGUGUACUGGUCAGCUAACCCUGUCUGAAACAUGUUGGGGCUAGUGUACUGGUCAGCUAACCCUGUCUGAAACAUGUUGGGGCUAAUGUACUGGUCAGCUAACCCUGUACCAAACAUGUUGGGGCUAGUGCACUGGUCAGCUAACCCUGUACCAAACAUGUUGGGGCUAGUGUACUGGUCAGCUAACCCUGUACCAAACAUGUUGGGGCUAGUGUACUGGUCAGCUAACCCUGUCUGAAACAUGUUGGGGCUAGUGCACUGGUCAGCUAACCCUGUCUGAAACAUGUUGGGGCUAGUGUACUGGUCAGCUAACCCUGUACCAAACAUGUUGGGGGUUCCUUCCUUCCAAUAUUUGAGUCUAGGAUUAAGGUAAAAAAUGUUAAUUAUAAUUAAGGUCAAUUAUAAUGUCUGUUUUAUUUGACUCCACUUUUAAAUAUCAGCCUGUCUCAUCACAUUCAGGGAUGAGCUGUUUGUAAGCAAGAGGGGGGGGGGGGGGGGAGGGGUGGUGUUCUUAGUGACAGCAAGCUCUAAUCCACUUUAAGGCCAAGGCCCAAAGUGGAUAUCCAUUAUUGUAAAGUCAGUCCUCUCCUUCCUUUCAUGUGGAGUGUUGCCUGUGUGUAGUAUCAGUUCUCCUAGUUCUCCAGUCUAGUUUUUUAUUUUUUUAUUUUUUUAACCUGGCAUGAACAAAUUCUGAUUUACAAUUACAGCCUGCCAGGGAACAGCCUUGUUCAGUGGCAGAACGACAGAUUUUUACCUUGUCAGCUACGGGGGAUGUGAUCCUACAACCUUCCGGUUAACGGCCCAACACUCUAACCACUAGGCUACCUGGUGCUCCAGGACACAACAGUGAAAACAUUUGAAAUAAAAUAAAAAAAUAAAUAAAUACAUUUUUGGUCUACAGUUAUGUUGUUUUUAUUGGCAUUUUUUCCCCAUAUUAUUUUACAACGAUGGUCACAAUCUGGAAAGAUGUGUGUGAACAAAAAGAGUGGCACUAUUGCAGAGUGGCAGGAAGCAGGGUAUUCUCUCGGCAUGCGAGUGUCCUACACACUGCUGGGCAUGCUGUGUUACCUACAGAUGUUACUUAUAGAGUUUAGUCUUUAGUCUUAUUCAUAAGGUGUUGAGUUCUAUCUGCUGACGGACAUGCAUAACACACACGGGGCUACUGCACAUCAAUGGGAGUAAGACAGAGAGGUUGAGCCGGACAACCAUGAAUGG
Molecule: non-coding RNA, 8179 nt
Organism: Oncorhynchus mykiss (rainbow trout)
Lineage: Eukaryota; Metazoa; Chordata; Actinopteri; Salmoniformes; Salmonidae
Source: RefSeq, a predicted model, not a curated record